RNAcentral lists this long non-coding RNA (803 nucleotides) under Mytilus galloprovincialis (Mediterranean mussel). Lineage: Eukaryota; Metazoa; Mollusca; Bivalvia; Mytilida; Mytilidae. The record is from RNAcentral.
ACUUCAUAUGAAAAUAAAGAUAUGUUGUACGAUUGCCAAGUAGACAAUUAUCCAUCAGGGGCAAUGAUUUAAACAACCAAAGAUCACUGUACAGCCUUCAACAAUGUUAACACGUAUACCUGUUCCAACUAACUAGAAACUUUGUUAAUAAUAUUGCCAUAUUAUCUGUUCUUGUUGGAACCAAUAUUUUAUACUCUUUCAGUGGCGGAUCCAAUAAUUUUAAGAAGUGGGGGCCUGCUCCAGUGAUUCCCUAUAUAAUCAACUAAACUUUUCCAAGAAAGGGGGGGGGGGGCCCACCCUAAAUCCGCAAGGAAAAAAUACUGUUAUGCAUUUUGUAGUUGUUCCCUAGGAAAUAAAAUUGCAGAAUAUUUCUUAUAUUUCAUGACAUAGUCCCUGACAUGCCAAAUUUGAACAAAUUGAAGAGUAAACCAAUGGCCCUUUUUUUAUAUAAAAAUAAACGGGGAAAUAUGUUCAUGGGACACAAAUGAUGCCCCUGCUUGCAUAUAAGAUUAUAUAGACAUAACUCAAUACAGUAAUAGUGACACUUCACAAAUUUGUACUUGAUCUGUGUGCAAGUUUCUUGGCAUUUGGUAGAGGCAAACGUAAGUUAGAGAUCGGAAACAAAAAAUUCAGCAUUUUUUUUCUUUGAACAGGGGCUUAAUUUUGAAAUGGUUUAAGGGACACUUUCAAAAUUCAACUUGAUCUGUGUAAAGUUUCAUAACAUUUGGUUUAGGCAAACUAAAGUAAGACAAAGGAAUCCAAUUUUGGGACGUGUAGACAGACAUGGGUAAAAGGCAAAGGGC